Molecule: ribosomal RNA, 264 nt
Filed under: uncultured bacterium
Lineage: Bacteria
Description: partial 16S ribosomal RNA
Rfam family: Bacterial small subunit ribosomal RNA
Source: RNAcentral
CUUAACACAUGCAAGUCGAACGGAGCUUCGGCUCAGUGGCGGACGGGUGAGUAACACGUAGGAACCUGCCCAGAAGUGGGGGAUAACUCCUCGAAAGAGGGGCUAAUACCGCAUACGGUCUACGGACCAAAGCAGCAAUGCGCUACUGGAGGGGCCUGCGGUGGAUUAGCUAGUUGGUGGGGUAAUGGCCUACCAAGGCGACGAUCCAUAGCUGGUCUGAGAGGACGGCCAGCCACACUGGGACUGAGACACGGCCCAGACUCC